Molecule: ribosomal RNA, 491 nt
Filed under: uncultured bacterium
Lineage: Bacteria
Description: partial 16S ribosomal RNA
Rfam family: Bacterial small subunit ribosomal RNA
Source: RNAcentral
AGUGAACGCUGGCGGUAGGCCUAACACAUGCAAGUCGAACGGCAGCACAGUAAGAGCUUGCUCUUACGUGUGGCGAGCGGCGGACGGGUGAGGUAUACAUCGGACUCUAUUUUUUCGUGGGGUAUAACGUAGGGAAACUUACGCUAAUACCGCAUACUCCCUACGGGUGAAAGCAGGGGCUCUUCGGACCUUGCGCGAUUGAGUGAGCCGAUGUCGGAUUGGCUAGUUGGCGGGGUAAAGGCACACCAAGGCCACGCUCCGUCGCUGGUCUGAGGGGAUGAUAAGCACACUGGAACUGAGACACGGUCCAGACUCCUACGGGAGGCAGCAGUGGGGAAUAUUGGACAAUGGGCGCAAGCCUGAUCCAGCCAUACCGCGUGGGUGAAGAAGGCCUUCGGGUUGUAAAGCCCUUUUGUUGGGAAAGAAAAGCAGAAGGUUAAUACCCCGCUGUUCUGACGGUACCCAAAGAAUAAGCACCGGCUAACUUCGUG